RNAcentral lists this long non-coding RNA (4894 nucleotides) under Malus domestica (apple). Its description in RNAcentral is "long non-coding RNA (MDOM_LNC010228)". Lineage: Eukaryota; Viridiplantae; Streptophyta; Magnoliopsida; Rosales; Rosaceae. The record is from RNAcentral.
ACGAUCUCCUACUUUGCAGGCUCAGUUUUUUAAGGUCAUGAGAGGAUUCUGAUCCUUUUGAAAAGGUAUGGUACCAUCAUUCUCGUAAUUAUUUAUUUUCUUUUUCUCUGUAAAGGGUUUUGAAGAAGUCUGCAAUUUCAGUUAGUCUUUUGGGAAAUUACAAAUAAAAUAAUUUUUUAUUAUUUUAUAAAAUAACAAUAAUAAUAUUUUAUUGCCUAUUACUAUGACUAUUCAGUUUAGAGGUGGAGAUGCAAAAGACAAUUAUUGUUCAUUAAAUGCAGUUAUUAUUCAAUAGAGGAGAUUCAAUUGCCAAUUACUAUGGGGAAUCCUUACACACUGGAAGUGCUUUAAGCAAAGUGAAGUUGUUAAAUUGGCAAUAGGCAGAUUAUUAUAAUUAGUUAAUGAAUGACAGAUCAAAUCAAUGUAUACAUUAGUCUAUGAAAUUUGGGGUGUCACACACUUAAAAGAUAAUCUUUAGUAUAUAUUGACAAUGCACAAGUACAUCUGCUGCCUAAUCAAUUUGGUUGGCAGGAUUUAAUUUCCUUCCAUACUUGCAAUUAAGAAUUCAUGAUUCAAGAAUAUUUGCUUGAAGUAAGAUAAUAAGGAAUUAAUUUGGUAAGCAUUAUUUUUCAAUUGUUUGAGUAAUAUAUUGGACCGACGAGAAAUUACAACACGAGAAAGUUAUAAAUAAUUGAGAAACAAAAGAGAAAUCACAAAGAUCACAUAUUAGUAUAUAUGAAUAUUGGCGAUGAAGAAUUUUGUGGCAGUUUAUGAUGUUUUUAUUUUUUGUCAAAUGACAUUUUAUGUUGUUGAAUUACUUUAAAAAGUUGUAUAUUUAGCAAGAGAAACAUUCAGUUUUUUUUUUUUUAAAAGGUGAAUAUUUUAACCAACAAUUUAAAUGGUAUUAUGGUAAACCCCAUUUUCCACGACCUGGAUGAUGAAACAUGGUAAUAUGAAAUACUGAACAUUGCAGGAAAAAUAAUAGCGAAAUAUGCUGAUAAAAGGAAUUUACCUGAUGUGUUUGUUAGGGAAGUUAAUUGUUAUACAUUGCAUGGAGGUAAAUUAAUAUGCAGUACGAAGUUGUUAACAGACAAUAUAUCAUGACAUACCUAUACAUUUUUCAUGAGCAACUCAGCCAUGAUGAAGAAUAUAUAUGUACCACAGCCACAACAUCUGGGGUCCAUAGCUCAGAGGUAUGCCUCACGCUUGUAACAAGACUCAACAAGUUAUAUAUAUAUGUACCACAGCCACAACAUCUGGGGUCCAUAGCUCAAAGGUAUGCCUCACGCUUGCAACAAGACUCAAUAAGUUAUAUAUAUAAUGCCUCGUUAAUUUGCAGAUAUAUAGACUUUUCUUCAGUGUAAUUAACCGUACUUUUUUACAAUGCAAAUUUAUUGUCGAUGUAUACAUUAACACAGUUGAAAAUAAAACUCAACAAAUUUCCUAACACUUCUUUUGAAAGAACCAUUUUCUUAACUUGAAACAAAACCGAUUAUUAAUAUGAAGAAUGGUUAGAUUUGAUAGCCUGACAAGUUACAACAUAGUAUACAAUACCUCAAACUUGUGUAACAAGGUAACAUUUCUCUAUGAUGUUAAUGGGUGUAAUUAACACGGUAACAUGAUAACAUAACAGCUGCAUAGCUAAUACCUGCACAAUCAAAGUCUAAAUCAUCCUAUAAGCCUUAAUCUCAAAGUCUAAAUCAUAUCUAGUUAUUUUCCUCUAAAACCUUUAGUGCUACUUUAAUCCAUAUCACUAUAUCAACAAAUUUUGGAACCUAUAUAUAAUAAUCAUAAGGGACACAGGAGGAGCUGCUCACUCACCCAUAAAUAGGGUUCAUGUGAUGGGUUCCCAUUAAAUUAAUGUUCCUAAUCCCACUUUCCAACCAGGAACCACAUGAUAUUUUUCAUAUAAUAAAUAAAUGUAGUAAUGAAUAUAAACCAAAACUUAUAUAAAAAUAGUCACAAAUGAUCCCUCUUUCAUUGAUUUUUAUCUAACACCUAUCGUUUAUGAGAUUAGAACUCAAAAUAUUUUUCGACAAAGUUGAGAGACUAACAACGGUGGACCAAAUAUUCAGUAAGAAAUAGAAAAAGAAAACCACAUAGGAAACUUUAUAUCUCAUUGCAGGUACACAUUAUGCUUGCUCUUACUUAUAGGUCAUGUGUUGGGAGCAGGAGUUGGUGCGUCUAGAGACUGAAUUUAUUUUGCGGGUCAACGUUCACUAUCAUAGUUACUUCAUAAUAAUUCUACUGCAUGCCCAUAUCAUCAUUAAUUUUUAUUAACAAAUGAUAUUAUUUACAAAGGUUUUUAUCACAAAUGAUCCCUGAAAUUGACCUUCAUCAUCAAGAUGAUUCAUGAAAUUGAAAAUCAAUUAAUGUAAUCCCUGAAAAUAUGUGUCACAAAUCAAUGUGGUCAUUCUAUCAUAAUUCUGUUAAAAAAUCCAUUAAGUGCUGAUGUGACACAUAAAUAGGCGCCACAAAAUUAUGAUUUUAUCACAAAUGGUCCCUGAAAUUGACUCACAUCAUCAAGAUGGUCCUUGAAAUUGACCUACACUAUCAAGAUGGUCCCUAAAAUUGAAAAUCGGUUAAUGUAGUCCUUGAAAAUAGGUAUCGUGAAUCAAUAUGAUCAUUCCGCCACAAUUCUGUAAAAAAAAAUUUUAUGUGCUGAUGUGAGUUUACUAAUUAAUUAAAAAAUUGUCUAAAUACCUUUUUGCACAAUGAAAUUUUUUUCUUAUAGUAGGACCUACUUCGAAGAUUUGGGACACUUACUUGCGAGACUAAAUUGAUUGAUUUUCAAAUUUAGAGACCAUUUUGAUGUCGCAGGUCAAUUUCAGGGACCAUUUUAAUGUUGCGGGUCAAUUCUAAGGACCAUUUGUGAGAAAAAUAUAUAUAUGAGACCCAUUUAUGUGCAACAUCAGCACUUAACUGAAUCUUUAACUGAAUUGUGACUGAAAGAUCAUAUUGAUUUGCGACACCUAUUUUUAUGGACUAAACUAAACUAAUUAAUUUUUAAUUUCAGAGACUAUAUUAAUGGUAAAGGUCAAUUUCAGGAACCAUUUGUGAAGAAAAAAAAAACCUAUUAAAAAAUAAGUUGACGUAUGAAAAGAAAAAUAGUAAUUAAAAACUAAAAAUUAAUAGAAAAAUCCUUUUUUUUAAUCCUUUGUCCCACUACUUCUUUCUAUAUCUUAUAACUUUCCUAGCAAAAAUAUCUCAUGUGCCGUAUUGCUAGUUAUUAACAACGAAAAGGUUAUUUGGAUUUCAUGAAGUAAUUUGUAAAACUAAAUUUAUGCAGACUUUAAUUAAUGAUGGGUUCUAAAAUAUUUAAGGGUGUUACUGGCACUAUGGUCCAGGAGUAAUAGUACUUUUUAUAAAUAAAAAAAUCUUAAGUUUGGACUCUCAUAAGAAUUUGAUACCAAUUAUUCCUAACACAUUGUGUAGUUUACUGCAAUUUAUCUCUAAUAAUAUAUCUCAAAGAUAAAUUGAAUCUGAUAUAAAAGGUAUACUAGUGAAAUAAAGGAUAUUGAUGUCUAGUUGUGUACAUACUCAUAUAAAAUGGUCGGAUAAAUAACAACAACAACAACAACCAAGUCUUAUCUUACUCAGUAGGAUCGGCUGUAUGAAUUAUAGAAUGCCACUAUGCUUGAUUUUGCGUCAAUAUUCUGUUAGCUCCAUGUCCGUUUCUUUUCUUAAAGUCUUUUUCAAAAUCUUUCUCUAUCUUUUUUGCUUUGAGCCUCAUUUUCAUAAUCACAUCUUCUAACUGGAGCAUAUAUGGGUCUUCAAUUCAUGUGUCCAAACCAUCUUAACCGAUUUUCUCUCAUCUUAUCUUCAACUGCGGGCACUCCUAUUUUACCUUAGAUAUCAUUGUUCUUAAUCCUAUCAUUUCUCGUAUACCCACACAUCUAAGCAUUCUCAUAUCUGCUACACUCAUUUAUUGCACGUAUUGCUUUUUGACCGCCUAACAUUUUGUGCCAUAAAACAUUGCUGGCUUUAUUGCCUUCCUAUAAAAUUUUCCAUUAAGCUUUACUGGUAUAUGAUGAUCGCACAACACACUUGAUGCUCUCUUCCACUUCAUCCAUUUAGCUUAUGUUCUAUGGUUGAGAUCUCCAUCUAAUUCUUUGUUCUUUUGCAAGAUAGAUCCAAGAUAUUGAAAAUGUUCACUCUUUGGUAUUUCUUGAUCUCCAAUCCUUAACCCUAUAUCAUUUAGACCCACAUUCCCACCAAACUUGCAGUCCAUAUACUCCGUCUUUGACCUACUUAGGCGAAAACCUUUAGAUUUCAAUACUUCCCACCAAAUGUUAAGCUUCACAUUUACUCCCUUAUGCAUUUCAUCUAUCAGCACUAUAUCAUAUGAGAAAAGCAUAUACCAAGGGAUAUCAUCUUGAAUAUGUCCUUUUACCUCGUCCAUUACCAAAACAAAAAAGUAAGAACUUAAAGAUAAGCCUUGGUAUAACCCUAUGGUUAUCGAAAAGCUUACAGUUUAUCCUUUAUGAGUUCUUUUUGUAGUCCUUAUUCUAUCCUACAUAUCCUUUAUUGCUUGGAUAUAUGCCACUCAUAUGCUUUUUAUAGAUCUAUAAACACUAUGUGCAAAUUCUUUUUGCAUAUCUAUAUAUCGUUCCAUCUAUCUCCAUAAGAGAUAGAUUGCCUCCUUAGUUGAGCAGUCUGGCAUGAACCUAAAUUGAAUGUCUUAGACCUAUAUCUCUUACCUUAGUUUAUGCUCAAAUACUCUUUUCCAAAGUUGUAUUGUAUGACUCAUAACUUAAUUUUCCUAUAGUUCAUGCAGUUUUGUAUGUCGACCUUAUUCUUGUAAAUAGGCACCAAAGUACUUUUUUGCCACUCAUUUGGCAUCUUCUUCCUUUUCAAAAUCUCAUUGAAAAGGUUUGUGAGCCAUGCUAUGCCC